This 446-nucleotide ribosomal RNA is filed under the name uncultured bacterium. RNAcentral's name for it is "partial 16S ribosomal RNA". It matches the Rfam family "Bacterial small subunit ribosomal RNA", at positions 338 to 795 of the family's 1533-position model. The record is from RNAcentral.
CCUACGGGGGGCUGCAGUCGAGAAUUAUUCACAAUGGGGGAAACCCUGAUGGUGCGACGCCGCGUGGGGGAAUGAAGGUCUUCGGAUUGUAAACCCCUGUCAUGUGGGAGCAAAUUAAAAAGAUAGUACCACAAGAGGAAGAGACGGCUAACUCUGUGCCAGCAGCCGCGGUAAUACAGAGGUCUCAAGCGUUGUUCGGAAUCACUGGGCGUAAAGCGUGCGUAGGCUGUUUCGUAAGUCGUGUGUGAAAGGCGCGGGCUCAACCCGCGGACGGCACAUGAUACUGCGAGACUAGAGUAAGGGAGGGGGAACCGGAAUUCUCGGUGGAGCAGUGAAAUGCGUAGAUAUCGAGAGGAACACUCGUGGCGAAGGCGGGUUCCUGGACAUUAACUGACGCUGAGGCACGAAGGCCAGGGGAGCGAAAGGGAUUAGAUACCCGUGUAGUC